UAAGCAAGCCUGCCAAGUAUCAAUACAACCUGCAAAAUAUUUUGAAAACCUAGUUCGUUAAAAAGAGCAUUAGUACAAUAUCAGUCAAACAUAUCAGACAAAUAUUACUAAUUUCAAUAAUACCUUUGAAGCCGAAAUUUGUUCAUGGUUGCAAAUACCCAUAUUGAUCCAAUUUCAAAAGGUUGAAUCUCCUAUAUUUUUCCCAUCUUCUGCUUACAUAGUUGUGAAUUGUAUAUGUUACAAAAAUUCACUCAACCUUUCCAGGCCACACUUUAUGCCUUACAUUAAUAGUAAUUUUAACAUUUUAAAAUUUCACUACGCACAACCAUAUAAAGAAUACAAAAUGAUUUCAUUCAAAAGGGUGACCAAGAGUAAUAUUAUCUCUCAACAAAAGUAUAAA
Molecule: long non-coding RNA, 400 nt
Filed under: Panax ginseng (ginseng)
Lineage: Eukaryota; Viridiplantae; Streptophyta; Magnoliopsida; Apiales; Araliaceae
Description: long non-coding RNA (PGIN_LNC018771)
Source: RNAcentral